CCUACGGGAGGCAGCAGUGGGGAAUUUUCCGCAAUGGGCGAAAGCCUGACGGAGCAAUACCGCGUGAGGGAAGAAAGCCUACUGGGUUGUAAACCUCUUUUUUCAGGGAGGAAAAAAAUGACGUGUACCUGAAGAAUAAGCAUCGGCUAACUCCGUGCCAGCAGCCGCGGUAAGACGGAGGAUGCAAGUGUUAUCCGGAAUUACUGGGCGUAAAGCGUCUGUAGGUGGUUUAAUAAGUCAACUGUUAAAUCUUGAGGCUUAACUUCAAAACAGCAGUCGAAACUAUUAGACUAGAGUAUAGUAGGGGUAAAGGGAAUUUCCAGUGGAGCGGUGAAAUGCGUAGAUAUUGGAAAGAACACCGAUGGCGAAAGCACUUUACUGGGCUAUUACUAACACUCAGAGACGAAAGCUAGGGUAGCAAAUGGGAUUAGAUACCCCAGUAGUCCUAGCUGUAAACAAUGGAUACUAGAUGUUGAACAGAUCGACCUGUGCAGUAUUAAAGCUAACGCGUUAAGUAUCCCGCCUGGGAAGUAUGCUCGCAAGAGUGAAACUUAAAUGAAUUGACCGG
Molecule: ribosomal RNA, 568 nt
Filed under: uncultured bacterium
Lineage: Bacteria
Description: bacterial SSU rRNA
Rfam family: Bacterial small subunit ribosomal RNA
Source: RNAcentral